Molecule: ribosomal RNA, 510 nt
Filed under: uncultured bacterium
Lineage: Bacteria
Description: bacterial SSU rRNA
Rfam family: Bacterial small subunit ribosomal RNA
Source: RNAcentral
GGUUCAGGACGAACGCUGGCGGCGUGCUUAACACAUGCAAGUCGAACGGAGUUAAGCGCUGGUCUGAUGCUAGCUUGCUAGUGGAUUCCUUGCUUAACUAGUGGCGGACGGGUGAGUAACGCGUGAGUAACCUGCCCUUCAGUGGGGAAUAACGCCCUGAAAAGAGCGCUAAUACCGCAUGACACAUAUUUGCCGCAUGACAGAUAUGUCAAAGAUUUAUCGCUGAAGGAUGGACUCGCGUCCGAUUAGCUUGUUGGUGAGGUAACGGCUCACCAAGGCGACGAUCGGUAGCCGGACUGAGAGGUUGAACGGCCACAUUGGGACUGAGACACGGCCCAGACUCCUACGGGAGGCAGCAGUGGGGGAUAUUGCGCAAUGGGGGGAAAAACCCCUGACGCAGCAACGCCGCGUGGAGGAUGACGGUUUUCGGAUUGUAAACUCCUUUUAUAAGGGACGAACUAAGACGGUACCUUAUGAAUAAGCUCCGGCUAACUACGUGCCAGCAGCGGC